Molecule: long non-coding RNA, 486 nt
Organism: Acomys russatus (golden spiny mouse)
Lineage: Eukaryota; Metazoa; Chordata; Mammalia; Rodentia; Muridae
Exons: 3
Source: RefSeq, a predicted model, not a curated record
CUGGAGAGGCUCCUCCGUGGCGCGCAUGCGUAGACUCCGUCUGGGCAGAGCUGAUACUCAGAGGCGCCUGUCACAUGAGCCGCGCUCCCGCUCGGCUCCCCCUCCUCCUGGCUGGGCUGUGUGAAUGAAGCUCAGCGGGUUACGUGGGGCGCCAGCUCUACUCGCUGUGUGGAACGCCAGAGCCGACUGAGCGCGCUGCCUAACGCCGGUGGACACGGGCUCCGCCGCUCCGGACCUCGGUGACAGAACAAAUCAGUUGCCUGGAGUUGGACGUGUGUCCGUGUGAUAACAUAAGUGGGAGCUGCACCGAGUCAAUGAGGGGAACCCAGAAGUUGAAGCAUUAAAAACCAGAAUUUUGCAAAGCAAGGAAAGUACAACAUAAAGUGGAAAGGCAGACCCACCUCCCAAAGGGUAGCAUCUCUUCUUACUUUUUAUUAUACUCCUUUUCUUUCUUUCUUUCUUUCUUUCUUUCUUUCUUUCUUUCUU